CUCUGUGACUCCUACGGGAGGCAGCAGUGGGGAAUAUUGCACAAGUGGGGGAAACCCUGAUGCAGCCAUGCCGCGUGUGUGAAGAAGGCCUUCGGGUUGUAAAGCACUUUCAGUAGGGAGGAAGGUAGUGUAGUUAAUACCUGCAUUAUUUGACGUUACCUACAGAAGAAGCACCGGCUAACUCCGUGCCAGCAGCCGCGGUAAUACGGAGGGUGCGAGCGUUAAUCGGAAUUACUGGGCGUAAAGCGCAUGCAGGCGGCCUGUUAAGUCAGAUGUGAAAGCCCCGGGGCUUAACCUCGGAAUUGCAUUUGAAACUGGCAGGCUAGAGUCUUGUAGAGGGGGUAGAAUUUCAGGUGUAGCGGUGAAAUGCGUAGAGAUCUGAAGGAAUACCAGUGGCGAAGGCGGCCCCCUGGACAAAGACUGACGCUCAGAUGCGAAAGCGUGGGGAGCAAACAGGAUUAGAUUCCCUGGUAG
Molecule: ribosomal RNA, 474 nt
Filed under: uncultured bacterium
Lineage: Bacteria
Description: bacterial SSU rRNA
Rfam family: Bacterial small subunit ribosomal RNA
Source: RNAcentral